GCAAUCCUCUUCAAUACCACUGAUAUUUGGGUGAUGAAAACCCAAAGUUGAGGAAGAAAUUUCAGCUCUAAAGCUGAAGUUUUAAUAGGUGGGUUAAAGUUUUUUAGUUACAACACAAAAACUUCAGUUCGAGUUGAAGUUUUUGUAUUGUAAUUGGAAAUUUUAGCUCCGGUAUAUAAUAUUAAUAGGUGGGCUGAAGUUUCCCAAUUACAACAGAAAAACUUCAGCUCUAAGAUGUAAUAUUAAUAGGUGGUAAGAAAACUGCAGCACUAAGUUACAACACAAAAAUUUCAGCUCUAAAGCUGAACUUCAAGCCCGACUACUAGAAUGCUGAAAUUUUGCGUGAUUGCCUUUGCUACUUCAGCCCUGUAUGCUGAAGUUAUGCGAAAAAGCGGGUACGCUUGCAACUUUUUUUACAAAGCG
RNAcentral lists this long non-coding RNA (423 nucleotides) under Nicotiana benthamiana. RNAcentral describes it as "long non-coding RNA (NBEN_LNC007177)". The record is from RNAcentral. Lineage: Eukaryota; Viridiplantae; Streptophyta; Magnoliopsida; Solanales; Solanaceae.